This 873-nucleotide ribosomal RNA is filed under the name uncultured bacterium. RNAcentral's name for it is "bacterial SSU rRNA". It matches the Rfam family "Bacterial small subunit ribosomal RNA", at positions 18 to 884 of the family's 1533-position model. The record is from RNAcentral.
CAUGGCUCAGAUUGAACGCUGGCGGCGUGCUUAACACAUGCAAGUCGAUCGGUAACAGGUGUAGCAAUACAUGCUGACGAGAGGCGGACGGGUGAGGAAUAUUUGGGAAUCUGCCCAUCAGCGGGGGACAACCCGGGGAAACUCGGGCUAAUACCGCAUACGCUCUACGGAGGAAAGCCGGGGACCGCAAGGCCUGGCACUGAUGGAUGAGCCCAAAUCGGAUUAGCUAGUUGGCGGGGUAACGGCCCACCAAGGCGUCGAUCCGUAGCUGGUCUGAGAGGACGAUCAGCCACACCGGAACUGAGACACGGUCCGGACUCCUACGGGAGGCAGCAGUGGGGAAUAUUGGACAAUGGGGGAAACCCUGAUCCAGCGACGCCGCGUGGGUGAAGAAGGCCUGCGGGUUGUAAAGCCCUUUUGGUAGGGACGAAAACUCUUGCCCUAACAAGGCAGGAGCUUGACUUAACCUACAUAAGAAGCACCGGCUAACUCUGUGCCAGCAGCCGCGGUAAUACAGAGGGUGCGAGCGUUAAUCGGAAUUACUGGGCGUAAAGCGCACGUAGGCGGCUUUGUAAGUCGGAUGUGAAAUCCCCGGGCUCAACCUGGGAACUGCACCCGAAACUACAUUGCUAGAGUAUGGGAGAGGGAGGCGGAAUUUCCGGUGUAGCAGUGAAAUGCGUAGAUAUCGGAAGGAACAUCAGUGGCGAAGGCGGCCUCCUGGACCAAUACUGACGCUCAGGUGCGAAAGCGUGGGGAGCAAACAGGAUUAGAUACCCUGGUAGUCCACGCCCUAAACGAUGAGAACUGGAUGUCGGGAGGGUUUGCCUUCCGGUGUCGUAGCUAACGCGAUAAGUUCUCCGCCUGGGAAGUACG